UUUCCGUAGGUGAACCUGCGGAAGGAUCAUUACUGAAUAAACCUGAUGUGGCUGUUAGCUGGCUUUUCGAAGCAUGUGCUCGUCCGUCAUCUUUAUCUCUCCACCUGUGCACAUUUUGUAGUCUUGGGUACCUCUCGAGGCAACUCGGAUUUUAGGGUCGCUGUGUUGUACAAGUCGGCUUUCCUUUCAUUUCCAAGACUAUGUUUUUAUAUACACCAAAGUAUGUUUAAAGAAUGUCAUCAAUAGGAACUUGUUUCCUAUAUAAUUAUACAACUUUCAGCAACGGAUCUCUUGGCUCUC
This 300-nucleotide unclassified non-coding RNA is filed under the name plant metagenome. RNAcentral's name for it is "partial contains small subunit ribosomal RNA, internal transcribed spacer 1, and 5.8S ribosomal RNA". The record is from RNAcentral.